GGGAGCCGGAUGAGCUGAGAAGUUCAAGUCCGGUUCUGAGAGAGACUUGGGGUGAAAUUCCCCAGGUCUACUUACC
This 76-nucleotide non-coding RNA is filed under the name uncultured Sporomusa sp. Lineage: Bacteria; Bacillati; Bacillota; Negativicutes; Selenomonadales; Sporomusaceae. The record is from RNAcentral.